GACGAACGCUGGCGGCGUGCUUAACACAUGCAAGUCGAACGAUGAAGCCUUUCGGGGUGGAUUAGUGGCGAACGGGUGAGUAACACGUGGGUAAUCUGCCCUGCACUCUGGGAUAAGCCCGGGAAACUGGGUCUAAUACCGGACAUGACUUUCUUACGCAUGUAGGAAGGUGGAAAGUUCCGGCGGUGCAGGAUGAACCCGCGGCCUAUCAGCUUGUUGGUGGGGUAAUGGCCUACCAAGGCGACGACGGGUAGCCGGCCUGAGAGGGCGACCGGUCACACUGGGACUGAGACACGGCCCAGACUCCUACGGGAGGCAGCAGUGGGGAAUAUUGCGCAAUGGGCGAAAGACCUGACGCAGCGACGCCGCGUGGGUGAUGAAGGCCUUCGGU
This 391-nucleotide ribosomal RNA is filed under the name uncultured bacterium. Its description in RNAcentral is "bacterial SSU rRNA". It matches the Rfam family "Bacterial small subunit ribosomal RNA", at positions 28 to 422 of the family's 1533-position model. The record is from RNAcentral.